UAUUAAAUCUACUCAUUAUACCCUUUUAUUAAUCUUUCUCUCACUCAAUACCCAUCAUCUUCCAUUUCCCAACCUCGCACAACUCUAUGCUUCUACAACUCUCGAGGUCGCGAAACGCCGUCGACCAUAGCAAUGCUGCCGUCGCAAGCAACUACUGAUCACUAUCGAUUAGAUGGCGACAUAAGGCUUGGGGAUGGCAGCAACAGGCAGUGGCGCAACAGGUUGUAUAUGGUUGCUCCUGUUGUAGUGCGAUGGUGUAAGCCUUCAAGCCUAUAUUUGCCAGUGUGAUGCAUUCUUGGUCAUGUUUAAGCUGGAGUUAUUGCUAAUUUAUGUGGCAAUGAUAUGUUUAUAUUAUUUGAUGUGUCAUUUCUUUUUCUUUUUAAGAAAGGUUAUGUUUAACACUGGAGACACGCAUCUACUAUUAUGUGGCAAUGACAAUGUUAAUCUUUGAUCUAAA
Humulus lupulus (European hop) is the source of this 457-nucleotide long non-coding RNA. RefSeq lists it as uncharacterized. Lineage: Eukaryota; Viridiplantae; Streptophyta; Magnoliopsida; Rosales; Cannabaceae. The transcript is spliced from 3 exons. The record is from RefSeq and is a predicted model, not a curated record.